AUACUUACCUGGCAGGGGAGAUACCAUGAUCAUGAAGGUGGUUUUCCCAGGGCGAGGCUCACCCAUUUGCACUGUUGGGGUGUGCUGACCCCUGCGAUUUCCCCAAAUGCGGGAAACUCGAUGCAAAUUUGUGGUAGUGGGGGACUGCGUUCGCGCUCUCCCCUG
RNAcentral lists this small nuclear RNA (165 nucleotides) under Mus musculus (house mouse). RNAcentral describes it as "U1 spliceosomal RNA". It matches the Rfam family "U1 spliceosomal RNA". Rfam says of the family: U1 is a small nuclear RNA (snRNA) component of the spliceosome (involved in pre-mRNA splicing). Its 5' end forms complementary base pairs with the 5' splice junction, thus defining the 5' donor site of an intron. The record is from Rfam by way of RNAcentral. Lineage: Eukaryota; Metazoa; Chordata; Mammalia; Rodentia; Muridae.